GACGAACGCUGGCGGCGUGCUUAACACAUGCAAGUCGAACGGAAAGGCCUGCUUUCCCUUGUGGAUUGCGGGUACUCGAGUGGCGAACGGGUGAGUAACACGUGAGUGAUCUGCCCCCAACUUGGGUAUAAGCCUGGGAAACUGGGUCUAAUUCCCGAUAGGACUGCAGGGUGGUGCCUGUGGUGGAAAACGAUUUUCUAGUGGUUGGGGAUGAGCUCGCGGCCUAUCAGCUUGUUGGUGGGGUAAUGGCCUACCAAGGCGGCGACGGGUAGCCGGCCUGAGAGGGUGGACGGCCACAUUGGGACUGAGAUACGGCCCAGACUCCGACGGGAGGCAGCAGUGGGGAAUAUUGCACAAUGGGCGGAAGCCUGAUGCAGCGACGCCGCGUGGGGGAUGACGGCCUUCGGGUUGUAAACUCCUCUCGACCGCGAGGAAGCCACCUGGUUGGAAGGGUGGUGACGGUAGUGGUAGAAGAAGCACCGGCUAACUACGUG
Molecule: ribosomal RNA, 494 nt
Filed under: uncultured bacterium
Lineage: Bacteria
Description: partial 16S ribosomal RNA
Rfam family: Bacterial small subunit ribosomal RNA
Source: RNAcentral